Macaca fascicularis (crab-eating macaque) is the source of this 3933-nucleotide long non-coding RNA. The record is from Ensembl. NCBI's taxonomy places the organism in Eukaryota, Metazoa, Chordata, Mammalia, Primates, Cercopithecidae.
GCCUUUCAUUGAAGGGAGCCGCGAGUUUCAAAUGCAGCGGCGUUUGCCAUGAUUCCCUGGGCCUGGCUUUCAGCGUAGCAAUUCUUCCGGCGAAGAAGGUGAGCGCAGUGCUGUGUGGCGGCAGAGCUGAGGACGAGGAGCAGCGGGACAAGGAAGGGCGACUCUGGUGAAAUCGCAAACUAGGUAUCUGUUCCGGCGCGGGACCCCUGUAUGCAAAGGUCCAUGGCUAAUGAAACACAGAAAGUUGGUACCAUCCAUUUUCCUUUUCCCUUCACGCCCUAUUCCAUCCAGGAAGACUUCAUGGCAGAGCUUUACCGGGUUUUGGAGGCUGGCAAGAUUGGGAUAUUUGAGAGUCCAACUGGCACUGGAAAGUCCUUAAGUCUUAUUUGUGGAGCCCUCUCCUGGCUCCGUGACUUUGAACAGAAGAAGCGUGAGGAAGAGGCACGACUCCUUGAAACUGGAACUGGCCCCUUACAUGAUGAGAAAGAUGAAUCCCUGUGUCUGUCGUCUUCCUGCAAAGGGGCCGCAGCCACCCCGAGGCCUGCUGGAGAGCCGGCCUGGGUGACUCAGUUUGUGCAGAAGAAAGAAGAGAGGGACCUGGUGGAUCGACUAAAGGCGGAGCAGGCCAGGAGGAAGCAGCGAGAAGAACGCCUGCAGCAGCUGCAGCACAGGGCGCAGUUCAAAUAUGCAGCCAAGCGCCUGAGGCAGGAAGAAGAAGAAACGGAGAAUCUCCUCCGCCUCAGCAGAGAGAUGCUAGAGACAGGCCCGGGGGCUGAGCGGCCGGAGCAGCUGGAGUCUGGGGAGGAGGAGCUGGUCCUUGCCGAAUACGAGAGCGACGAGGAGAAAAAGGCAGCGAGCGGAGUGGAUGAGGAUGAGGAUGACCUGGAGGAAGAACAUGUAACUAAGAUUUAUUACUGUAGUCGGACACACUCCCAGCUGGCCCAGUUUGUGCAUGAGGUGAAGAAGAGCCCCUUUGGCAAGGAUGUUCGGCUGGUCUCCCUUGGCUCCCGGCAGAACCUUUGUGUCAAUGAAGACGUGAAAAGCCUAGGUUCUGUGCAGCUUAUCAACGAUCGCUGUGUGGACAUGCAGAGAAGCAGGCACGAGAAGAAGAAAGGAGCUGAGGAGGAGAAGCCAAAGAGAAGGAGGCAGGAGAAGCAGGCGGCCUGCCCCUUCUACAACCACGAGCAGAUGGGCCUCCUCCGGGAUGAGGCCCUGGCAGAGGUGAAGGACAUUGAGCAGCUGCUGGCCCUUGGGAAGGAGGCCCGGGCCUGUCCCUAUUAUGGGAGCCGCCUUGCCAUCCCUGCAGCCCAGUAUUCCAGUGAAAUUCUAUGCAUGGGGACACCGGAGCCCAGAAAACUGGUGGUGCUGCCCUAUCAGAUGCUGCUGCAUGCUGCCACUCGGCAGGCUGCGGGCAUCCGGCUGCAGGCACAGGUGGUGAUCAUCGACGAAGCGCACAACCUGAUAGACACCAUCACGGGCAUGCACAGCGUGGAGGUCAGCGGCUCUCAGCUCUGCCAGGCCCAUUCCCAGCUGCUGCAGUACAUGGAGCGAUACGGGAAGCGUUUGAAGGCCAAGAACCUGAUGUACCUGAAGCAGAUCCUGUAUUUGCUGGAGAAAUUCGUGGCCGUGCUGGGGGGGAACAUUAAGCAAAAUCCCAAUACACAGAGCCUCUCACAGACAGGGACAGAGCUGAAGACCAUCAACGAUUUUCUCUUCCAGAGCCAGAUUGACAACAUCAACCUGUUCAAGGUGCAGCGAUACUGUGAGAAGAGCAUGAUCAGCAGAAAGCUCUUUGGAUUCACAGAACGGUAUGGAGCAGUGCUCUCAUCCCGGGAGCAGCCCAAACUGGCUGGGUUUCAGCAAUUCCUGCAGAGCCUGCAGCCCAGGACGACUGAAGCUCCUGCAGCCCCCGCAGACGAGAGUCAGGCUAGCGCCCCGCGACCAGCUUCCCCACUGAUGCACAUCGAAGGCUUCCUGGCAGCUCUCACUACAGCCAACCAGGACGGCAGGGUCAUCCUGAGCCGCCAAGGCAGCCUCAGUCAGAGCACCCUUAAGUUUUUGCUCCUGAAUCCAGCUGUGCACUUUGCCCAAGUGGUGAAGGAGUGCCGGGCAGUGGUCAUUGCAGGGGGAACCAUGCAGCCGGUGUCUGACUUCCGGCAGCAGCUGCUGGCCUGUGCCGGGGUGGAAGCUGAACGCGUGGUGGAGUUUUCCUGUGGUCACGUGAUCCCUCCAGACAAUAUCCUGCCCCUUGUCAUCUGCAGCGGGAUCUCCAACCAGCCGCUGGAAUUCACGUUCCAGAAAAGAGAGCUGCCUCAGAUGAUGGACGAGGCGGGUCGCAUCCUCUGUAACCUGUGCAGUGUGGUUCCUGGAGGGGUGGUCUGUUUCUUCCCCUCCUACGAGUACCUGCGCCAAGUCCAUGCCCACUGGGAGAAGGGUGGCCUGCUGGGCCGCCUGGCUGCCAGGAAGAAGAUAUUCCAGGAACCUAAGAGCGCGCACCAGGUGGAGCAGGUGCUGCUGGCAUAUUCCAGGUGCAUUCAGGCCUGUGGCCAGGAGAGAGGCCGGGUGACGGGGGCCCUUCUCCUCUCUGUUGUUGGAGGAAAGAUGAGUGAAGGGAUCAACUUCUCUGACAACCUAGGCCGGUGUGUGGUGAUGGUGGGCAUGCCCUUCCCCAACAUCAGGUCUCCAGAGCUGCAGGAGAAGAUGGCCUACUUGGAUCAAACCCUCCCCAGAGCCCCAGGCCAGGCGCCCCCAGGGAAGAAUCUGGUGGAGAACCUGUGCAUGAAGGCCGUCAACCAGUCCAUAGGCAGGGCCAUCAGGCACCAGAAGGAUUUUGCCAGCAUAGUGCUCCUGGACCAGCGAUACGCCCGGCCCCCUGUCCUGGCCAAGCUGCCGGCCUGGAUCCGAGCCCGUGUGGAGGUUAAAGCUACCUUUGGCCCUGCCAUUGCUGCUGUGCAGAAGUUUCACCGGGAGAAGUCGGCGUCUUCCUGAUGGGCAACCACACCACCGCCUGGCGCCGCGCCCUUCCUUUGCCCUGCCCGCUGGAGACAGUAUUUGUCGUGGGCCUGGUCUACAGGGAUCCUGUUACAAGGGUGAAACCCGGGAGGAGAGUGUGGAGUCCAGAGCGCUGCCAGCGCCCAGGCACAGGCAUUAGCUCCCGUAGGAGAAAAUGGGGGAAUCCUGAAGAAACAGUGGGUCCUGGCUGGCCUUGGGGCAUUCCAGGGCAGCUCCCCUCCUGGCAUAGAAUCUUCCUUUCCAUCCUGCAUGGCUGAGAGCCAGGCUUCCUGCCUGGUCUCCACAGGAAGCUGUGGCAACUGUGGCAUCCACUGUGGCAUCUCCAUCCUGCCCACCUUCUUAAGAGUUGAGAUAGAGCAGGCCUGUUUGCCUCUGCCCUUUCUAGCCAAGGUUAACUGCCCUGGACUGCUCAUCCUCUGGUCUCAAUUUAAAAUGAUCCCAUGGCCGCAGGGCUCCUGCCCAGGGACUUGUCACCUGCCCCUCCUUCCUGAGUCACACCUGCAGCCCUGCUCCCUAACCUGUCCCACAGCCCUGCCUGGAUUUGUGUCUCUCUGGCUUCGCACCAGUUCCUCCGCAUCUGUGGCACCUCCUUCCCUCUCAACCACUUAAACAAACUCCAAGACACCUUCUACCCCACACCAUCAAUUAUGCCAAGGGCCAUUAGGCUCUCAACAUGACUAUAGAGACCCCGUGUCAUCACGGAGACCUUUUUUCCUGUGGGAAAAUAUCCCUCCCACCUGCAACAGCUGCCCCUGCUGACUGCGCCUGUCUUCUCCCUCUGACCCCAGAGAAAGGGGCCGUGGCCAGCUGGCAUCUUCUGCCGCCAUUAGGGACCAACGGGGGCCAGAGGAGAGUCACUGAUGCCCAGAUGUUUGCAUCCUGCACAGCUACACGUCCUUAAUUAAAAGUGUACUUUUGGUU